AUGUUUGGGUUCAAGGUCUGGCUUGAGAUCGAGGGCAUUCCUCCCCACGCCUGGGACAGAUCGGUUGUGGAGGACCUGUUGGGUUCGUCUUGCAAAGUGGAUACAGUCAUGUCGAAAACCUGCUCUCGCGCGGAUCUGGCCUUGUUCAAGCUGUCGGCGUGGACAGCUCACCCACAGGGCAUCCCCACGAUGCGGUGGCUCGCUGUGCCGGAGCCUGGCGAGGAGGCGCCUCUAGCGUUGCUGCAAUACAAGACGCUGAUUCAUCUCGCUGCAGUCAAGGAUUUGCGUGAAGCGGGGGAGCCAUGGUUUCUUGGCGGCUCGUCGGUCAGCGGGUAA
This 336-nucleotide ribosomal RNA is filed under the name Triticum aestivum (bread wheat). RNAcentral's name for it is "partial small subunit ribosomal RNA". The record is from RNAcentral. Lineage: Eukaryota; Viridiplantae; Streptophyta; Magnoliopsida; Poales; Poaceae.